RNAcentral lists this ribosomal RNA (341 nucleotides) under Nematoda environmental sample. RNAcentral's name for it is "SSU rRNA". It matches the Rfam family "Eukaryotic small subunit ribosomal RNA", at positions 1300 to 1665 of the family's 1831-position model. The record is from RNAcentral. Lineage: Eukaryota; Metazoa; Nematoda.
GGUGGAGCGAUUUGUCUGGUUAAUUCCGAUAACGAACGAGACUCUAGCCUACUAAAUAGUGACUGAAUUUUUAGUUCAGUAUACUUCUUAGAGGGACAAGGGGUAUCUAGCCCCACGAGAUUGAGCAAUAACAGGUCUGUGAUGCCCUUAGAUGUCCGGGGCUGCACGCGCGCUACACUGAAGGAGUCAACAUGCAUUGAGACCUAGUCCGGAAGGACCGGGUAACCCAAUGAAACUCCUUCGUGAUUGGGAUAGGGAAUUGUAAUUAUUUCCCUUGAACGAGGAAUUCCUAGUAAAUGCGGGUCAUCAUCUCGCGUUGAUUACGUCCCUGCCCUUUGUAC